CCUACGGGUGGCAGCAGUGGGGAAUAUUGCACAAUGGGGGAAACCCUGAUGCAGCGACGCCGCGUGAGUGAAGCAGUAUUUCGGUAUGUAAAGCUCUAGCAGCAGGGCAGAAAAUGACGGUACCUGACUAAUAAGCCCCGGCUAACUACGUGCCAGCAGCCGCGGUAAUACGUAGGGGGCAAGCGUUAUCCGGAUUUACUGGGUGUAAAGGGAGCGCAGACGGCUGUGCAAGUCUGGAGUGAAAGGCGGGGGCCCAACCCCCGGACUGCUCGGGAAACUGUAAAGCUGGAGUGCAGGAGAGGUAAGCGGAAUUCCGAGGGUAGCGGUGGAAUGCGUAGAUAUUAGGAGGAACACCAGUGGCGAAGGCGGCUUACUGGACUGCAACUGACGUUGAGGCUCGAAAGCGUGGGGAGCAAACAGGAUUAGAUACCCCAGUAGUC
RNAcentral lists this ribosomal RNA (440 nucleotides) under uncultured bacterium. RNAcentral's name for it is "partial 16S ribosomal RNA". It matches the Rfam family "Bacterial small subunit ribosomal RNA", at positions 338 to 795 of the family's 1533-position model. The record is from RNAcentral.